Molecule: ribosomal RNA, 497 nt
Filed under: uncultured bacterium
Lineage: Bacteria
Description: partial 16S ribosomal RNA
Rfam family: Bacterial small subunit ribosomal RNA
Source: RNAcentral
GAUGAACGCUGGCGGCGUGCCUAAUACAUGCAAGUCGAGCGAACAGACGAGGAGCUUGCUCCUCUGACGUUAGCGGCGGACGGGUGAGUAACACGUGGAUAACCUACCUAUAAGACUGGGAUAACUUCGGGAAACCGGAGCUAAUACCGGAUAAUAUAUUGAACCGCAUGGUUCAAUAGUGAAAGACGGUUUUGCUGUCACUUAUAGAUGGAUCCGCGCCGCAUUAGCUAGUUGGUAAGGUAACGGCUUACCAAGGCGACGAUGCGUAGCCGACCUGAGAGGGUGAUCGGCCACACUGGAACUGAGACACGGUCCAGACUCCUACGGGAGGCAGCAGUAGGGAAUCUUCCGCAAUGGGCGAAAGCCUGACGGAGCAACGCCGCGUUAGUGAUGAAGGUCUUCGGAUCGUAAAACUCUGUUAUUAGGGAAGAACAAAUGUGUAAGUAACUAUGCACGUCUUGACGGUACCUAAUCAGAAAGCCACGGCUAACUACGUG